Non-coding RNA from Macaca mulatta (Rhesus monkey), 468 nucleotides. NCBI's taxonomy places the organism in Eukaryota, Metazoa, Chordata, Mammalia, Primates, Cercopithecidae. The record is from RefSeq and is a predicted model, not a curated record.
UGGGCCUGGAAUGAUUUGCGGAGCAGUUUUUCCCUCAAGAGACUCUCUAAGGGGAGUUGGGGAUGGGGAAAGUUGCUGCAGGUUAAUUGUGAAGCGGUUCCAAGAAUUACAAUUGGCAUGCAGGCAGAAGGGGACUGUGCAUUAGAGAGCAAUGGCACAAAAGCCUGACCAGGUGGAGAAGAAAUGGGGUUACCUUUCUAGGUUCCUGAUCUUGAGAGACAUGGAAAAUGGAUCCUGCAAAUUGUUGGUGGAUACAGAGCCAGAGAUCAAGAUGCUAGAGAGAACCUGGAUUUAGGAAUCCUGAUGCAAUAUGAGUCUCUAUCAGAGACUAAUUAAAAUCUCUGGAGUGAUUCAUUCAAAUUUGAAACAAUGGCUGUUUGAAGUAGACGUUUGAGUACUGUUGGAUAAUUUUAAUAGUGAAUAACUCAAAUCCUCAGAAAAUAAAAAUUGGUUAGAAGAAUGAGCUUA